Molecule: ribosomal RNA, 301 nt
Filed under: uncultured bacterium
Lineage: Bacteria
Description: partial 16S ribosomal RNA
Rfam family: Bacterial small subunit ribosomal RNA
Source: RNAcentral
GAGUCGCCGCGGUAAUACGGAGGGUGCAAGCGUUAAUCGGAAUUACUGGGCGUAAAGCGCACGCAGGCGGUCUGUCAAGCCAAAUGUGAAAUCCCCGGGCUUAACCUGGGAACUGCAUUUGAAACUGGCAGGCUAGAGUCUUGUAGAGGGGGGUAGAAUUCAAGGUGUAGCUGUGAAAUGCGUAGAGAUCUGGAGGAAUACCGGUGGCGAAGGCGGCCCCCUGGACAAAGACUGACGCUCAGGUGCGAAAGCGUGGGGAGCAAACAGGAUUAGAGCCCCAGUAGUCCCUGUCUCUUAUACA